This 272-nucleotide ribosomal RNA is filed under the name uncultured bacterium. RNAcentral describes it as "partial 16S ribosomal RNA". It matches the Rfam family "Bacterial small subunit ribosomal RNA", at positions 524 to 794 of the family's 1533-position model. The record is from RNAcentral.
UACGGAGGGUGCGAGCGUUGUUCGGAAUCACUGGGCGUAAAGGGCGCGUAGGCGGUCUUAUAAGUCAGAUGUGAAAGCCCACGGCUUAACUGUGGAAGAGCAUUUGAAACCUUUUGGCUUGAGUAUGGGAGAGGAGAGCGGAAUUCCUGGUGUAGAGGUGAAAUUCGUAGAUAUCAGGAGGAACACCGGUGGCGAAGGCGGCUCUCUGGACCAAUACUGACGCUGAGGCGCGAAGGCGUGGGUAGCAAACAGGAUUAGAUACCCGGGGUAGU